GCUGGACAUGGUGGUGCACGUCUGUAAUCCCAGUGGCUCGGGAGGCUGAGGCAGGAGGAUUGCCAAGUUCAAAGUCAGCCUCAG
Molecule: small RNA, 84 nt
Filed under: Marmota monax (woodchuck)
Lineage: Eukaryota; Metazoa; Chordata; Mammalia; Rodentia; Sciuridae
Source: RNAcentral